AAGAAACUAUGUCGCUUUGAGGUCCUCGCGUGUUUUCUCUACACCGCGGGUCUCACGAUCACAAGCGGCCAGUAUUGGAUCAUCAAACAGAGGCUCUUCACCAAUCAGCUGAUGACCCUAUUCAAUAUGAAGGGGAAGGGCAAGAAAGAUAAAAUUAGAAUUGAAGACAAGAAAUUGUUUUCAGCAAUAAAAGCUGCUGUCAUGAAAUGGGACCCAGCUGGAACAGAGGCCCAAAUAAAGUCUGCUGCAUCUGAUCAUAUGAAACAUGCCCCCGGGAGAGUCGGGGGUGGUGGCUAUAAAUAAUAUAUUGUGCACCUUUUGUGCCACAUUUUGUUAAUUGUUUACAUUUUAUAGCACUUUUAUUUAUAACUUUACUGUUCUGGCUUUUAAGUUUUAUUAUGUUAUUGUGUUAAUUUAUACUUUACUGUUCUGGUUUUAAGUUUGGCUAAAAUUUGUAAUAAAAAUAUAU
Xyrauchen texanus (razorback sucker) is the source of this 469-nucleotide long non-coding RNA. RefSeq lists it as uncharacterized. NCBI's taxonomy places the organism in Eukaryota, Metazoa, Chordata, Actinopteri, Cypriniformes, Catostomidae. The record is from RefSeq and is a predicted model, not a curated record. The transcript has 3 exons.